GCUGUAACGACAACAAACACAAACAUCCAUGAAUAACCAAACAAACCAUUUGACCCACCAAGUAGAUGCGAUCGAACAGUAACCCAUCAACCACAAAGUACCGCAAGGGAAUAACAACAAGCAACUAACAGCAAAGAUUAAUCCUUGUACCUUUUGUAUCAUGGUUUAGCAAGCCACUAUGGACAAGAAGAAUCAAAGCCCACACCCCCGAAACCAGGUGAGCUACUUUCUAGAGCAGCCCAAUAGAGCAAACCCUUCUCUGUAGCAAAAGAGUGGGAAGACUUGAAAGUAGAGGUGAAACGCCUAUCGAACCUGGAGAUAGCUGGCUACCCAAAAAAGAAUCUAAGUUCUACUUUAGACCAAACCAUAAUCAUUUAUUAACUAAAGAUAGUCAAUAGGGGUACAGCUCUAUUGACACAGGAUUCAACCUGUAUUUGAGAGAAAAUACACAAAACACCACCGCCAGUAGGCCUUAAAGCAGCCAUCUAACAAAAUAUCGUUACAGAAUUAACUAAAACCUAAUGCCAAACCAAAAAUAUACCUCCAAACUAACUAAAGGUUAACCCAUUCCCAUGGGUACUACUAUGCUAAAACUAAUAAUAAGCCACCCCCUCUAACGACGCACCCCUCCACUAGAAACGGAUAACCCACUAGCUACCAACAGACCCCAACAGGCAACUAACCAACCUAUACACAUACACAUACAAACUGUGACACCAACACCGGGGCGUCAACAAGAAAGAUAAAAUAUUGUAAAAGGAACUCGGCAACCACAGACCCCAACUGUUUAACAAAAACAUAACCUUUAGCCAAACAAAUAUUAAAGGCAACGCCUGCCCAGUGAACAAUUAAACGGCCGCGGUACCCUAACCGUGCAAAGGUAGCAUAAUCAUUUGUCUAUUAAUUGUAGACCAGCAUGAAAGGCAAAAUGAGGGUCCGUCUGUCUCUUACAAUAAAUCAAUUAAACUGAUCUCCUAGUAAAAAAGCUAGAAUCCACACACAAGACCAAAAGACCCUGUGAAGCUUAAACUAAACUAUUAAACCCUAUAAUACCUACUUUCGGUUGGGGCGACCUUGGAAAAAAAAAGAACUUCCAAACAUAUGACCACACUCAUACACAGGCCUACAAGCCUUAUAUAGACCCAGUAUAGCUGAUAAUUGAACCAAGUUACUCCAGGGAUAACAGCGCUAUCUUCUUCAAGAGUCCAUAUCAAAAAGAAGGUUUACGACCUCGAUGUUGGAUCAGGACAUCCUAAUGGUGCAACCGCUAUUAAGGGUUCGUUUGUUCAACGAUUAACAGUCCUACGUGAUCUGAGUUCAGACCGGAGCAAUCCAGGUCGGUUUUUAUCUAUGACACGCUCUACCUAGUACGAAAGGACCGGUAAAGCAAAGCCAAUACCAAAAGCACGCUUUAACACUACCCAUCAAACAACCAACCAUCCACACUCUUAAACCAAGAUAAGGUUAAUUAAGGACAACCCUUA
RNAcentral lists this ribosomal RNA (1484 nucleotides) under Sibon nebulatus (cloudy snail-eating snake). Its description in RNAcentral is "16S ribosomal RNA". It matches the Rfam family "Bacterial large subunit ribosomal RNA", at positions 549 to 2829 of the family's 2925-position model. The record is from RNAcentral. Lineage: Eukaryota; Metazoa; Chordata; Lepidosauria; Squamata; Dipsadidae.